UAGGGGAGGUUCAGAGACCUAUGAGACGUCGAUGUGAUCAGUUCAAGAAUUGAAAAGGUGUGGUGACUACGAGGAAAUUCAACGGUGUUCUGACAGAAUGGACCAAAAAUUAGGACUCACCUUUGGGUGUUUUAUCUUAGAAAUUGUAUCUUUAAAGCUUCCGUACUGUGUAAAUGGUUACGUCACUCUCACGUGACGGCCAGCAUGCCCUCCUUCGGGACGGGGUGUGUCAAGUUGGUAUCAGAGCCUAAGUUUCAAUCUUGGACAUCUUAAGAAGUUCUAGUGAAUUCUGUCAGAACUACACCGUCUCGUAGCAAACCACGUAGUUAGAGGAACUUAGUCUCCCUGAUUUAGCUGUUAGGGGAAACUAUUAUUUUGGUGAUUCAGUAUAUUAUCAAAAAUGGACAUUUUAAGAUGGGUUAUGAGUUGAAUUUGAAUCACCUUAUGAAAUGAUGAACCUGAGGGAGCAAAGUGAUGGAGUAACCAAUUGGAAAAGAUGUUUUAGAUUAUGCAAGUCAAAGGAAUCUUCCUUUUGACAGAAGGGUUGAGACGACUACCUGGUUUGAGUUAGGAACUUGUAUCCUGGUGGAAACAGGAGUAUAAUUCGUUGUCACCAAAGGAAACAGCCGAUUGAGAAUUGUUUAAGGACUUGUUUAAAGAAAAGAAUUAUUUCCUUUGGCAUCUUAUGAUGGUAGAAAGCAAGAGUUUGCAAAUGUGAGACAAGGAAAGCUGACGAUCAAUGAGUAUUAUAGAAAGUUCUCAGACUUGCCUCGUCCCAUUCAAAUAUUGCUGCUAUUUUGAUUGAAGUGUUAUAUUGUUUUAAGCUGGGUGGCAUAAGGCAGUGGUAUUUUGGGUGACCACUAUCCAUUGUAAUCCUUAUCAGGAGUAUACAAGAUGUUGUUGAGCCUUAAGGACUCUGAGAUUAUGUUCAGCGAAAGUAAAGAAGAAUGAUAAAAGAAUGGGAAUCAAAAGAGGACGAUAAAGUUAAUGAUUCGUCAUAUCAAGAAUAUAGAAAGAUUCGGAACUUCAAAAGAAGUGAAGCUAAUUCUAGUUCUUUUGGCAAAGGUUUUAAUGCCAUUGGCCAGAGGCGAAGUGAUAGAUGUAUUGGUAAUCCCAGAUCUCAGAGACAAGGUGAUUUUGGUAAAGAAAAUGUACCUUUGGGCUGUAGGUACAAUAAUGGACACCUUUAAGAAUGUAGGCAAGAAAGCAUUGGACGCUUUACAAGUGGAUAGAUGGGACAUAGAACUGCAAAUUAUGUCCAAAACCAACAGAAGCCCUAGCAGUUUUCUUUGCCACAACUGGCGCCGAUCCAGCAAGUUCCUGGAUCUAUUAAUUAUGGUCAGUUAGGCCGUGGUGUACAUGAAAGAAGUAUUUACACUAAUAGAGGUUGUGGGAGACAACAACAAGUCCAGGGAUGUGUUAACCACACAUCACUGCAGGAUACUCAGAAUUAUUUGGAUUUGAUUAGGGGUACGAUAAUUAUUCUUAAUGACUUAGCUAGAGUCUAUUGGGUAAUAAUGUAGAAAUUUUACGUUAUUAUUGUUAUUGCCUAGAAAGUAGUAUUUAAACACGGUUGAGACGUGUGUAUGUAUUUCCCAAUGAGUGGCCAAAUAGUAAUAUUACACCCUCGAGAGUUGUUGCUUACUUAUCGAGACAACAAUGAUUUAUCAGUAUUGCGGGCUGCAGACCGUAAUAUUAAUAACUUAUUCGUGGAUUCGUUAAGCAAGUAAACCGGUAGGUUAUCCUAUGUUAGUAUCGUACUUAUUCAGAGUGCUCAGUAUUAGUAAAGUAUGUAUUGUUGCCAGCUAUUUUUGUUUCAUUAGAUUGUGGAUUUCGAUGUUAUUCUAGAGCAUAUUAUGUUAUAUACAUGAUAUGAUGAGUUGAUUAUAAGCUAUAUAUGCAGCCGAGGGCUGAGUUGAUUAGAAUGAAAGAGUAUGAGCUAUGUUUAUAGCCGAAUGUUGAAUAGAUUAUAUGUCAUUUUCCAUCGGUCUGGAUGACUAGAGAUUACUUUUGUAAGUAUGCAAAGUGAAGUGAGGCAGACCGUUAAUUAUGCUGUGAGAGCAAAGAGAUUAUUAUCAAAAGGCUGCCAAGGAUAUUUAUAUCAUGUGGUGCUAAGUGAUGUCACUUCUAGUAGCGUGGAAGAAGUGGGAGUAGUCAAACAUUUACCUGACGUUUUCCCUGAGAAUUUACCUGGAUGGCUGCCAGUUAAAGAUGUAGAGUUCACUAUGGAUUUGCCUCCAGGUACAAACCAUAUAUUAUAGAAUGUUGCCUUUUGAACUAAGAGAAUUGGAAAUUGGUUGAUAAAGGUUUUUAUUCAACCUAGUACAUUACGUUGGGGGAACCCCAGUUUAUUGGUGAGAAAGAAAAUGGACGUUAAGGCUGUGCUUUGAUUAUAAGCAGUUGAAUCGAGUAACAAUUGAAAACCGUUAUUCGUAACCUCACAUUGAUGGUUGUUCGAUCAGCUUCUAGGUGGUUGUAUAUUUUCUAAGUUUGAUUUGAGGUCUGGAUAUUAUUAGUUGAAGAUUAUCGGUGAGGAUGCCCUUAUGAUAACUUUCAGGACUUGUUAAGGUCAUUUCAAGUUUUGGUGAUGCCAUUCGGAGUGACGAAUGCAUCUACUACUUUAUGAAUUUGAUGAAUGAAGUAUUCCAAUGAUAUCUAAAUCGAUUUGUUGUUGUUGCUAUUGAAAAGAUUGAUAAGACUAGAGCAAAGUAUGCUAAACAUCUUAAAUUGGUAUUGCAAAGAUCGAGGGAACGUCGAUUGUAUGCUAAGUUUAGCAAAUGCUAAAGUUAAAUGAAUCAAGUAGCAUUUUUGAGAUAUGUUAUAUCUGCUUCAGGUAUUCAAAUGAAUUCUUAAAAGGUAGCAGAAAUUGAGAAUUUAGAACAAUCACGAAUCGUGAUUGGGAUUCGGAGUUAUCCUAGCUUAAUAAGCUAUCAUGGACGGUUCGUGAAAGAUUUUUCAGUCAUUGCCUUGCCAUUGUCGAGAAAAGAGGUUAAGUUUUGAGUGGGAUGAUAAUUAUGAGUAAAGGUUUCAACAGUUGAAGUAUUCCUCACUCAUGCACGUAUUUUAGUAUUCACAGAGAAUAGUGGUAAUCAUAAAUUUUUAGUGAUGUUUCUUGAAUGGUAUGGGAUGCAUGUUGAUGCAAAUGUUAGGGUGAUUACAUACGUUUCACGACAAAAGGAACCUCAUGAAAUGAAUUACCCUACUAGUGAUUUGGAAGUCAUGAUUACCAUUCUUGCUGUGAAGUUAUGAAGACAUUAUAUGUGGUAAAAAUGCAAGAUUUUUACGAAUCCAAAAAGUCUCCAAUAUCCAUUACUUGGAAGGAUUUUGAUAUAAGGCAGCGAAGGUGGAUUGAAUUGUUUAAUGAACAUGAUUGUACGACCAGGGUGAUCGUAAAAUUGUUCUAGCUGAUGCACUUGGUGAAAA
Pyrus x bretschneideri (Chinese white pear) is the source of this 3423-nucleotide long non-coding RNA. RefSeq lists it as uncharacterized. The record is from RefSeq and is a predicted model, not a curated record. Lineage: Eukaryota; Viridiplantae; Streptophyta; Magnoliopsida; Rosales; Rosaceae. The transcript is spliced from 2 exons.